AGUAACCGAUACCCAACCCUAGUAAUGAUGGAGCCCACCUGAUGUUUGUCUUGUUUUUUAACUGCCCUAGCGAUGCGUUUCCAUCUGCUGAAGCACACACGACUGAAUGUGGUGACGUUCCUCAACGAGCUGCCAAAAACUCAGCAUGACAUCAUCUCUUUCACCAUGGACGUAAACGCCUACACAGUGAGUUCACGUCUGAUCUGCCACACACUGAGUUACAUCAUUUAUGUUGUUCACUCAGCCAAACUGCUUUGUUUUCACAGAAUAUGCUGCUGUCAUUCACAGUGGGCGGAGUCUUCAAAGAAGGUCAGUAUCUUAGUCGUCAUGGUUUUAAGAAGAUCCACUGCAACUCAUCUAUUCUCACUAACGCUUUCCUGGGUUUUUCAGUUGUUGUAGAUGAUAAAUCUAAAGAAUCUACAAGGUUUUCAUCACAGUUCCAGCAGUGGAUUCUGGUUUGUGCAUCAUCAACGACCAGCUCUUCAUCAGAAUGGCUACAACGGAGCAGAUCAGCAGAGCUUUUGUGCCCCGCCCCCUUCCUCCAGCCCAGUGCCCACCCUCACUGCCCCACAGCAGGAGAUGCUCAGCACCUUCUCCCUGAAGUCAGACAUGAACCUGGAAUGGUCCCUGAAGUAGGUGUCCUCUCCUAAUGACGUCUACCAGACUAGGAUGAAUGUCACAGCUCACUGAUAAACACUGUCUGUGUGUUGCAGGUGUCUGCAGGACAACAAGUGGGACUUGAACAAAGCAAAACUGUUUUCCAAAUAUUUUCAC
Molecule: long non-coding RNA, 774 nt
Filed under: Gouania willdenowi (blunt-snouted clingfish)
Lineage: Eukaryota; Metazoa; Chordata; Actinopteri; Blenniiformes; Gobiesocidae
Description: lncRNA (ENSGWIG00000014580.1)
Source: RNAcentral